This 253-nucleotide ribosomal RNA is filed under the name uncultured bacterium. RNAcentral describes it as "partial 16S ribosomal RNA". It matches the Rfam family "Bacterial small subunit ribosomal RNA", at positions 524 to 776 of the family's 1533-position model. The record is from RNAcentral.
UACGUAGGGGGCUAGCGUUGUCCGGAUUUAUUGGGCGUAAAGAGCGUGUAGGCGGCCAAGUAGGUCCGGUGUGAAAACUCGAGGCUUAACCUCGAGAUGUCAUCGGAAACCAUUUGGCUAGAGUCCGGAAGAGGAAAGUGGAAUUCCAGGUGUAGCGGUGAAAUGCGUAGAUAUCUGGAGGAACAUCGGUGGCGAAGGCGGCAUCCUGGACCGGUAUUGACGCUGAGGCGCGAAAGCCAGGGGAGCAAACGGG